RNAcentral lists this long non-coding RNA (329 nucleotides) under Physcomitrium patens. RNAcentral's name for it is "long non-coding RNA (PPAT_LNC001358)". Lineage: Eukaryota; Viridiplantae; Streptophyta; Bryopsida; Funariales; Funariaceae. The record is from RNAcentral.
AAUUUGCAUUCUUCUUAUAUGGAUGAAACCUAUUAAGAUUUUUUGGAUACUUAUAAAAUACAACUUCAUCUUCCAUAGCUAGGUGCCUGAUGUAUUUCUAAACAAGACAACAUGUAAUAUAACAACAUGGUGGAUUUAUCUUCAUUCUUAUUAUCGUCCGCAAACUUGUAUUAAAAGUUUGCUAUGAAUUAUUCUAUUAUGCUACUGUAAGAUUUAUUUAUACAUGAAAUAUGUGAAUUAUCAAAUUGACUCACUACCUAUUUUAAAAUAAAAAGAUGCAUUUAGAGUCCUUAAAAUCAAAAUAUAUGGUGAAUAGUAUAGAAAUCUUU